This is a long non-coding RNA of Cyprinus carpio (common carp), 1055 nucleotides long. NCBI's taxonomy places the organism in Eukaryota, Metazoa, Chordata, Actinopteri, Cypriniformes, Cyprinidae. The record is from Ensembl.
UGUAGAGGUGCUUCCACGGUUCCCGGCUCCGCGCGCCCCGGAUCACACACCAGGAAAGUGAAAGCGCACACGGGUCAGAUAGUUUCUACUUUGGACGGUUGGAGAACAAGAUCAGGAAACUCUGAGCGCACCGAUUAUACUGCACGGAACAGCACAAUCUUUGCUCUCCGAAUUGGAUCAGAUAAAGCCCAGAGAUUCUCGGUCCAUCCUACACCCAGCAGCCACGGUGCCGGCUCCGGCCCUUGGUUUCCGUCUGAGGCGAGGCCACUUGGGAGUGCUGGUGUAGUGGAGGUAUGGACUGUAACUGUGUUAGUGACCUGCUGCUCACGCCACCCGUCCCAACCCUCUGGACACCAGGUGAGACACUGGAAGAGUUUUUUUUUUUCUUUUCGUUUUUUUUUUUUUUUGAAGAGGUUCUGUAUGACAAAACCACCAUCAUGACAAGACAGUAGAAACAGAUGCAUAGAUGUUAUAUUGAUUUUUAAAACAAAGUUUUGAUACAUAUUUUAGCUAAUUAUCACACUAAUAAGACCAACAGCAUGACUGUGAGUGUGAUAUGCUAUUAUACUGCAGUUUACUGAAAUAGAAGUUCAUAUUGACCAACUUACAUUUUAGACACAAUAUAGACUAUAGUCAGGGUAGCAUCAUAUUUAAUUUUUAACAGGAAUUAAAGUGAGGCUGUGAGGGAUAGAAGUGCAUUCAAUAGAUUGUACUGUUGUUUAACAACAUGAACAUACCGAUUGUUCAGCUGAUGAAAUGUCCUUCCAAAAACAACCUUUCAGUAGACAAAAGAUUCAUAAAACAGCUUUGAAAGUUGGAGAAAAUUACAAUUUACGAUUUACAACAAAACAUCAAGAUUUGAUGAAAACUAAGCUAGUAAUGUAUUACUAUCUCGCUAGAAAUAACAUCAAAAGUAGAAUAAGUCAGUUAAAAACACAAAUUUCACAUAUAAACUGACCACUAACCAUAGCUUUCAGAUGUGUUUUGUAUAGUGUUUUGAACAAAUUAAUGAAAGUUUCAAAUGACUCACUAAUAAAAACAUCCUCUGGUCGCCA